Molecule: ribosomal RNA, 164 nt
Filed under: uncultured bacterium
Lineage: Bacteria
Description: partial 16S ribosomal RNA
Rfam family: Bacterial small subunit ribosomal RNA
Source: RNAcentral
UAGGGAAUCUUCCACAAUGGGCGAAAGCCUGAUGGAGCAACGCCGCGUGUGUGAUGAAGGGUUUCGGCUCGUAAAACACUGUUGUAAGAGAAGAAUGACAUUGAGAGUAACUGUUCAAUGUGUGACGGUAUCUUACCAGAAAGGAACGGCUAAAUACGUGCUAG